AUACUUACCUGGACGGGGUCGAUGGGCGAUCUGCGAGGCCCAUGGCCUGAGUUAGCGACCUCCAUUGCACCUGGGAGGGGCGCUUGCCUAAGGUCUCCUCAAGUAGGAGAGCCCAUAUCAUAAUUUGUGGUAGCGGGGGCCUGCGUUCGCGCGGCCCUUGU
Molecule: small nuclear RNA, 161 nt
Organism: Gossypium arboreum
Lineage: Eukaryota; Viridiplantae; Streptophyta; Magnoliopsida; Malvales; Malvaceae
Rfam family: U1 spliceosomal RNA
About the family: U1 is a small nuclear RNA (snRNA) component of the spliceosome (involved in pre-mRNA splicing).
Source: Rfam